UACAGAGGUCCCAAGCGUUGUUCGGAUUUACUGGGCGUAAAGGGUGCGUAGGUGGUCGGGCAAGUCUCAUGUGAAAUCCCGCAGCUUAACUGCGGAACGGCAUGGGAUACUAUUCGGCUCGAGGAUUGGAGGGGGGACUGGAAUUCCCGGUGUAGCAGUGAAAUGCGUAGAUAUCGGGAGGAACACCAGUGGCGAAGGCGAGUCCCUGGACAAUUCCUGACGCUGAGGCACGAAAGCCAGGGGAGCAAACAGG
RNAcentral lists this ribosomal RNA (253 nucleotides) under uncultured bacterium. RNAcentral describes it as "partial 16S ribosomal RNA". It matches the Rfam family "Bacterial small subunit ribosomal RNA", at positions 524 to 776 of the family's 1533-position model. The record is from RNAcentral.